GUGCUUAACACAUGCAAGUCGAACGGAAAGGCCCUUUCGGGGGUACUCGAGUGGCGAACGGGUGAGUAACACGUGGGUGAUCUGCCCUGCACUCUGGGAUAAGCCUGGGAAACUGGGUCUAAUACCGGAUAGGACCAUGGGAUGCAUGUUCUGUGGUGGAAAGCUUUUGCGGUGUGGGAUGGGCCCGCGGCCUAUCAGCUUGUUGGUGGGGUGAUGGCCUACCAAGGCGACGACGGGUAGCCGGCCUGAGAGGGUGUCCGGCCACACUGGGACUGAGAUACGGCCCAGACUCCUACGGGAGGCAGCAGUGGGGAAUAUUGCACAAUGGGCGCAAGCCUGAUGCAGCGACGCCGCGUGGGGGAUGACGGCCUUCGGGUUGUAAACCUCUUUCAGUAUCGGCGAAGCUCCGUGGUUUUCUGCGGGGUGACGGUAGGUACAGAAGAAGCACCGGCCAACUACGUGCCAGCAGCCGCGGUAAUACGUAGGGUGCGAGCGUUGUCCGGAAUUACUGGGCGUAAAGAGCUCGUAGGUGGUUUGUCGCGUUGUUCGUGAAAUC
This 556-nucleotide ribosomal RNA is filed under the name Mycobacterium terrae. Its description in RNAcentral is "Mycolicibacter terrae bacterial SSU rRNA". It matches the Rfam family "Bacterial small subunit ribosomal RNA", at positions 44 to 601 of the family's 1533-position model. Lineage: Bacteria; Bacillati; Actinomycetota; Actinomycetes; Mycobacteriales; Mycobacteriaceae. The record is from RNAcentral.